This 362-nucleotide ribosomal RNA is filed under the name uncultured bacterium. RNAcentral's name for it is "bacterial SSU rRNA". It matches the Rfam family "Bacterial small subunit ribosomal RNA", at positions 30 to 394 of the family's 1533-position model. The record is from RNAcentral.
AUUGAACGCUGGCGGCAUGCCUUACACAUGCAAGUCGAACGGCAGCACGGGGCAACCUGGUGGCGAGUGGCGAACGGGUGAGUAAUGCAUCGGAACGUGCCAUUGAGUGGGGGAUAACGUAGCGAAAGUUGCGCUAAUACCGCAUAUUCUGUGAGCAGGAAAGCAGGGGACCGCAAGGCCUUGCGCUCUUUGAGCGGCCGAUGUCAGAUUAGCUAGUUGGUGAGGUAACGGCUUACCAAGGCGACGAUCUGUAGCGGGUCUGAGAGGAUGAUCCGCCACACUGGAACUGAGACACGGUCCAGACUCCUACGGGAGGCAGCAGUGGGGAAUUUUGGACAAUGGGCGCAAGCCUGAUCCAGCCA